RNAcentral lists this ribosomal RNA (253 nucleotides) under uncultured bacterium. RNAcentral describes it as "partial 16S ribosomal RNA". It matches the Rfam family "Bacterial small subunit ribosomal RNA", at positions 524 to 776 of the family's 1533-position model. The record is from RNAcentral.
AACGGAGGGGGCUAGCGUUGUUCGGAAUUACUGGGCGUAAAGCGCACGUAGGCGGCUUUGUAAGUCAGAGGUGAAAGCCCGGAGCUCAACUCCGGAAUAGCCUUUGAGACUGCAUCGCUUGAAUCCAGGAGAGGUGAGUGGAAUUCCGAGUGUAGAGGUGAAAUUCGUAGAUAUUCGGAAGAACACCAGUGGCGAAGGCGGCUCACUGGACUGGUAUUGACGCUGAGGUGCGAAAGCGUGGGGAGCAAACAGG